This 468-nucleotide ribosomal RNA is filed under the name uncultured bacterium. Its description in RNAcentral is "partial 16S ribosomal RNA". It matches the Rfam family "Bacterial small subunit ribosomal RNA", at positions 28 to 507 of the family's 1533-position model. The record is from RNAcentral.
GACGAACGCUGGCGGCGUGCUUAACACAUGCAAGUCGAACGGAAAGGCCCUGCUUUUGUGGGGUGCUCGAGUGGCGAACGGGUGAGUAACACGUGAGUAACCUGCCCUUGACUUUGGGAUAACUUCAGGAAACUGGGGCUAAUACCGGAUAGGAGCUCCUGCUGCAUGGUGGGGGUUGGAAAGUUUCGGCGGUUGGGGAUGGACUCGCGGCUUAUCAGCUUGUUGGUGGGGUAGUGGCUUACCAAGGCUUUGACGGGUAGCCGGCCUGAGAGGGUGACCGGCCACAUUGGGACUGAGAUACGGCCCAGACUCCUACGGGAGGCAGCAGUGGGGAAUAUUGCACAAUGGGCGGAAGCCUGAUGCAGCAACGCCGCGUGCGGGAUGACGGCCUUCGGGUUGUAAACCGCUUUCGCCUGUGACGAAGCGUGAGUGACGGUAAUGGGUAGAGAAGCAGCGGCUAACUACGUG